CCACCAACGCCUACCUCACCACACCAACCAAAACCCCAUCCCACUCCCGACAAACACCCCACCCCAAUUUCUCCGCCGCAAAAUACAUGUCGUCCUCCUCUCUCUCCAACUCCAAGCCGCCACCGAGGCCAAUCCGACGGCAAGAGCUCCCUCCUCGAAGCUCUGCGAGGUUGAGAUGGGUACUCGUAGACCUCUCAUUCUUCAGAUGAUCCAUGACCCCACCACUCUCGAUCCCCGGUGCCGAUUCCAGGUCAUUUCUAAUUUGCCCUCUGCAAUUUCUGAGUUUGCAGAGAAGAAAAACAUCUGAUAACUUUAAAAAUGUAUGUUGCUACUGGAUGGACCUGGAAAGAUGCUUUUAUGAUGUCGUGAUGCUCUUUGUGCUGAUUUGGUGCAAGAAAAUGAGUUCUUGUUUACUGGCUAUCAUUCUUAUGGGGUGCCCACAGUAGUAGAGACAUACUUGAUCAUAGUUGGUUAACACCUACAAUAUCUACCACAUGAGCUUCUUUUGUGGGAAGGGGUGAUGCCUUGAAAGCACAAAGGAAAGCCAGGAAAGUGCAUAUAUUGGUUAUUCAUCAAGUUUUUGGGAGCUUUGUAAGACUGAGGCAUCACAGAAUAAGCAGUCUUUUGUUGGUGAGGCCUUAAAACGGACUAGAAAAAACUGGUUCAACUUCAUAGCUGAUUCUUUGCCAAUUAAACUCUAUCAAACUGGUGAGAAGUUCAACAUAUCAAAUUUGUGUUUACUUGAUAGCUCAGGUGGAGCUAGCCUUUUAGAAUAUUCUUUUUCGAGAUGCAAGAAGUCACGGAAAGAUAAGAUGUAAGCAAAGAAGAAGCUCUUGCCACUGUCGUCGUAACCGCAGUUGGAGGAUUGUCAUUACCAGCCUUGUCUCUUGUUGAAUCUGUUUCCUCUUACGACUGCUCCGGAAGUUGAAUUAGCUUUGGUGUGGUUAAGCUCUUCCUUAUCUUAGGACGAAUCUGUAGAGCAAGGCCUUCAAACUUGUUUUUGUAAGAUACUACUGGACUUUCCACUGGUUUUUGGAUU
This is an RNA transcript of Fragaria vesca subsp. vesca, 1039 nucleotides long. RefSeq lists it as uncharacterized. Lineage: Eukaryota; Viridiplantae; Streptophyta; Magnoliopsida; Rosales; Rosaceae. The transcript is spliced from 3 exons. The record is from RefSeq and is a predicted model, not a curated record.